AAAUUGAAGGGUUUGAUCCUGGCUCAGAAUGAACGUUGGCGGCGUGGAUUAGGCAUGCAAGUCGUGCGAGAAGUCAAUUAGCUUGCUAAGAGACGGACAGCGGCGAAAGGGAGAGUAACGCGUGGUUACGUACCCAGAGGACCAGGAUAGCGUUGGGAAACCGGCAGUAAUACUGGAUAAUAUCUUUGGAUCAAAUGGUGUGAUUCCGCCUGUGGAUCGGACCGCGUACUAUUAGCUUGUUGGUGGGGUAAUGGCCUACCAAGGCUGCGAUGGUUACCGGGUGUGAGAGCAUGGCCCGGCUCACUGGGACUGAGACACUGCCCAGACACCUACGGGUGGCUGCAGUCGAGAAUCUUCGGCAAUGGACGAAAGUCUGACCGAGCGACGCCGCGUGCGGGAUGAAGGCCUUCGGGUUGUAAACCGCUGUCAGUUGGGAGGAAAGGCCUGUGAAGAGCAGGCCCUGACCGAUCUUCAGAGGAAGGACGGGCUAAGUUCGUGCCAGCAGCCGCGGUAAGACGAACCGUCCAAACGUUAUUCGGUAUCACUGGGCUUAAAGCGUGCGUAGGCGGCCUGGCAGGUGAGAUGUGAAAGCCCACGGCUCAACCGUGGAAUUGCGUUUCAAACCGUCAGGCUUGAGGAAGACAGGGGUGUCGGGAACUUAUGGUGGAGCGGUGAAAUGCGUUGAUAUCAUAGGGAACACCGGUGGCGAAGGCGCGACACUGGGUCUUUACUGACGCUGAGGCACGAAAGCUAGGGUAGCGAACGGGAUUAGAUACCCCGGUAGUCCUAGCCGUAAACGAUGAACACUGGGUUGAGGGGACUUCCACAUCCUCUCGGCCGUAGCGAAAGCGUUAAGUGUUCCGCCUGGGGAGUAUGGUCGCAAGGCUGAAACUCAAAGGAAUUGACGGGGGCUCACACAAGCGGUGGAGGAUGUGGCUUAAUUCGAGGAUACGCGAAGAACCUUAUCCUGGUCUUGACAUGUACGGAUGGGCUGCCUGAAAGGGAUAGUCCCUGCCUUCGGGUGAAACGUACACAGGUGCUGCAUGGCCGUCGUCAGCUCGUGUCGUGAGAUGUCGGGUUAAGUCCCUUAACGAGCGAAACCCUUGUUCCUAGUUGCCAGCACAUAAUGGUGGGGACUCUAGGGAGACUGCCGGUGUUAAACCGGAGGAAGGUGGGGAUGACGUCAGGUCCUCAUGGCCUUUAUGACCAGGGCUGCACACGUCCUACAAUGCGGUGUACAGAGGGAAGCGAACUCGCGAGAGCAAGCAAAUCCCAAAAAGCACCGCCCAGUUCGGAUUGCAGGCUGCAACUCGCCUGCAUGAAGCCGGAAUCGCUAGUAAUCGUGGGUCAGCAUACCACGGUGAAUAUGUUCCUGAGCCUUGUACACACCGCCCGUCAAGCCACGAAAGUGGGGGGCAUCCGAAGUCGC
Molecule: ribosomal RNA, 1429 nt
Filed under: Rhodopirellula sp. TMED11
Lineage: Bacteria; Pseudomonadati; Planctomycetota; Planctomycetia; Pirellulales; Pirellulaceae
Description: bacterial SSU rRNA
Rfam family: Bacterial small subunit ribosomal RNA
Source: RNAcentral